UACGUAGGGGGCAAGCGUUGUCCGGAUUUAUUGGGCGUAAAGAGCGUGUAGGCGGCUGGGUAGGUCCGUUGUGAAAACUCGAGGCUCAACCUCGAGACGCCGAUGGAAACCCCCCAGCUAGAGUCCGGAAGAGGAGAGUGGAAUUCCUGGUGUAGCGGUGAAAUGCGCAGAUAUCAGGAAGAACACCCGUGGCUAAGGCGGCUCUCUAGUACGGUACUGACGCUGAGGAGCGAAAGCGUGGGGAGCGAACAGG
This 253-nucleotide ribosomal RNA is filed under the name uncultured bacterium. RNAcentral describes it as "partial 16S ribosomal RNA". It matches the Rfam family "Bacterial small subunit ribosomal RNA", at positions 524 to 776 of the family's 1533-position model. The record is from RNAcentral.